GAGAUAUUAAGCAACUUCCAGAUAAAUAACAGUCAUUUUCGGUCAUUUACCUUAUAUUGUUUCCAAAAAUAAAGAAUUUCUUUAUUUCCACCGGUUUAAACCAAUCACUUCUGGUUGACAACUUCAAGAUUAUAUCUCUUCGAACCUAGUGCAAAACACAUGAUGGCUUUAUCGUAAAUAAAUAUGAAUCUAUACAUGCUAUAGCAAAGGUAAAAAUAUAGAACAUCAAAUUUAUUAUUGAACUUUAACUUCAUCUCGCGAUCAUAAAGCGAGAACCUAUAAUUGAAUGAUUUCUAUCUAAACACAGCUUGUUUUAAGUACCAGAGGAGAGGAAACUUCCAUCAAUUGUCAACGCAUCAUUUAAACCAAAAUAUGUUUAUUACAACAUUUCACAAAUAACAGUUGGUAUGUCUUACGGUUUCUGAAAAGAAACAAUAUCAACCUAAAAUUAAGCGUUAGAACCUAAUCUCCCUAUUGAUCGUCACCUCGUUUUUUUUUGGCCUCAAUUCAAAACUCCCAAAGUAUAAAAAAAAAUGUUUGGAAACUUAAAAGAAAUAUCAAAAUGUCCCCUAUGUUAUCUUUUUUCGAAGAAUUUUAAACCUCAUGGAGUUGAUAUGGUUAAAUGAAACUGAAAAAGUACAUGUUGUUAAGAAAUUUGCUCAGAAAAAGAUUUAUUUGAGCAAAGAAAAAUUUUGAAUUCUGUGCAAACAUUUUAAUUCUCGC
This 723-nucleotide long non-coding RNA is filed under the name Mytilus galloprovincialis (Mediterranean mussel). The record is from RNAcentral. Lineage: Eukaryota; Metazoa; Mollusca; Bivalvia; Mytilida; Mytilidae.